UGACCAGAUUUUGCAGUUUAUAACGCAAAUUAUGGACAGAGUAUAAAUGCAAAAUAUCUGGUUAUG
RNAcentral lists this microRNA precursor (66 nucleotides) under Mesocestoides corti. RNAcentral's name for it is "microRNA mco-mir-277b precursor". Its record names the gene mco-mir-277b. Lineage: Eukaryota; Metazoa; Platyhelminthes; Cestoda; Cyclophyllidea; Mesocestoididae. The record is from miRBase by way of RNAcentral.